RNAcentral lists this ribosomal RNA (449 nucleotides) under uncultured bacterium. RNAcentral's name for it is "bacterial SSU rRNA". It matches the Rfam family "Bacterial small subunit ribosomal RNA", at positions 355 to 801 of the family's 1533-position model. The record is from RNAcentral.
UGAGGAAUAUUGGACAAUGGGCGCAAGCCUGAUCCAGCCAUGCCGCGUGCAGGAUGACGGUCCUAUGGAUUGUAAACUGCUUUUGUACAGGAAGAAACAGUUCUACGUGUAGAACCUUGACGGUACUGUAAGAAUAAGGAUCGGCUAACUCCGUGCCAGCAGCCGCGGUAAUGCGGAGGAUCCAAGCGUUAUCCGGAAUCAUUGGGUUUAAAGGGUCCGUAGGCGGUUAGAUAAGUCAGUGGUGAAAGCCCAUCGCUCAACGGUGGAACGGCCAUUGAUACUGUCUGACUUGAAUUAUUAGGAAGUAACUAGAAUAUGUAGUGUAGCGGUGAAAUGCUUAGAGAUUACAUGGAAUACCAAUUGCGAAGGCAGGUUACUACUAAUGGAUUGACGCUGAUGGACGAAAGCGUGGGUAGCGAACAGGAUUAGAUACCCGUGUAGUCCCUGAG